RNAcentral lists this ribosomal RNA (242 nucleotides) under uncultured bacterium. RNAcentral's name for it is "partial 16S ribosomal RNA". It matches the Rfam family "Bacterial small subunit ribosomal RNA", at positions 83 to 339 of the family's 1533-position model. The record is from RNAcentral.
CAAGGUGGGGGAGCGGCAGACGGCUGAGUAACACGUUGGUACUUGCCCCACACUCGAGGAUAGCUCGGAGAAAUCCGGAUUAAUACUCGAUAGUUCCGCCUCGGCGGAUAAAGAAUUUCGGUGUGGGAGAGGCCUGCGGCCUAUCAGUUUGUUGGUGAGGUAACGGCUUACCAAGACAAUGACGGGUAGCUGGAUUGAGAGAUCGAUCAGCCAGAAUGGGACUGAGACACGGCCCAUACUCC